AUUGAACGCUGGCGGCAUGCCUUACACAUGCAAGUCGAACGGCAGCACGGGAGCAAUCCUGGUGGCGAGUGGCGAACGGGUGAGUAAAGUAUCGGAACGUGCCCAGUCGUGGGGGAUAACGUAGCGAAAGUUACGCUAAUACCGCAUACGAACUAUGGAUGAAAGCGGGGGAUCGCAAGACCUCGCGCGAGUGGAGCGGCCGAUAUCAGAUUAGGUAGUUGGUGGGGUAAAGGCCCACCAAGCCGACGAUCUGUAGCUGGUCUGAGAGGACGACCAGCCACACUGGGACUGAGACACGGCCCAGACUCCUACGGGAGGCAGCAGUGGGGAAUUUUGGACAAUGGGCGAAAGCCUGAUCCAGCCAUGCCGCGUGCAGGAUGAAGGCCUUCGGGUUGUAAACUGCUUUUGUACGGAACGAAAAGGACUGCCCUAAUACGGUGGUCCCAUGACGGUACCGUAAGAAUAAGCACCGGCUAACUACGUGCCAGCCGCCGCGGUAA
This 500-nucleotide ribosomal RNA is filed under the name uncultured bacterium. Its description in RNAcentral is "partial 16S ribosomal RNA". It matches the Rfam family "Bacterial small subunit ribosomal RNA", at positions 29 to 523 of the family's 1533-position model. The record is from RNAcentral.